Molecule: ribosomal RNA, 678 nt
Filed under: Russula americana
Lineage: Eukaryota; Fungi; Basidiomycota; Agaricomycetes; Russulales; Russulaceae
Description: eukaryotic LSU rRNA
Rfam family: Eukaryotic large subunit ribosomal RNA
Source: RNAcentral
UUGACCUCAAAUCGGGUGAGACUACCCGCUGAACUUAAGCAUAUCAAUAAGCGGAGGAAAAGAAACUAACAAGGAUUCCCCUAGUAACUGCGAGUGAAGCGGGAAAAGCUCAAAUUUAAAAUCUGGUGGUCUCUGGCCAUCCGAGUUGUAAUUUAGAGAAGCGUCUUCCGCGCUGGACCGUGCACAAGUCUCCUGGAAUGGAGCGUCGUAGAGGGUGAGAAUCCCGUCUUUGGCACGGACGCACCAGGGCUUCUGUGAUGCGCUCUCGAAGAGUCGAGUUGUUUGGGAAUGCAGCUCAAAAUGGGUGGUGAACUCCAUCUAAAGCUAAAUAUUGGCGAGAGACCGAUAGCGAACAAGUACCGUGAGGGAAAGAUGAAAAGCACUUUGGAAAGAGAGUGAAACAGUACGUGAAAUUGUUGAAAGGGAAACGCUUGAAGUCAGUCGCGUCGCCCGAGACUCAGCCUUGCCUCGGCUUGGUGUACUUCUCGGCCGACGGGUCAGCAUCAAUUUUGCCCCUUGGAUAAUGGCGAGGGAAAUGUGACACCUUUACGGGUGUGUUAUAGUCUUUCGUCGCAUGCAAGGGUCGGGAUUGAGGAACUCAGCACGCGCCUUUGGGCGUCGGGGUUCGCCCACGAUACGUGCUUAGGAUGUUGGCGUAAUGGCUUUAAACGACCCGUC